This 260-nucleotide long non-coding RNA is filed under the name Nicotiana benthamiana. RNAcentral describes it as "long non-coding RNA (NBEN_LNC009896)". The record is from RNAcentral. Lineage: Eukaryota; Viridiplantae; Streptophyta; Magnoliopsida; Solanales; Solanaceae.
AUAGAUUGAGAUUUGGGGCGGUGGAGAGGUGCUGAUAGGUUGCUGGUGUGACUGAGUGCAUUUUGGGUUGUUUUGGUUCUAUAUUUUGUUUUGAGUUCUCAACUCUCCUAGGACAUCUGAAAAUCAUUCUGGGUUGUGUCUCAAUUUCGAGGGCUGUGUAUUUUGCUGUUUGAUCUUCUCUUGGUCUACUGUUUUUCGAACUGCCGCUGACUUACUCUUCCCCUUUAUUAUUCGUCAAAUCUCUAGGUACAAUACUCGAA